UUAAAACUCAAAAUUUUCAAGCCAUUUCAGAAAUCUUCCAUUCACCUUCUGAUCCUCACCGAUCUUGCGGUGUACAUGUAUAGCCUCAGAAACUCAGCCACGACCAUAAACACAGGAUUGAAAAAGCAUGCAGGAAAUACAAAAAGUUGAGCGAUUAAAUAAAAUUAUUUACAGACGACACAGAUUAGGAUUGACGGGGAAGUGUGGAACCAGAAUUGACACCACCGGAGAUUCAGAAUUCAGUGGCUGCCUCAGGCUGCUCGCCGUGUCACCUCCUGCUGCUGUUGCUGCUGCUGAUCCUUCGACACAGACACGAGAACGAUGAUGAAGGCAGCAACAGAUGAAAGACAAAAACCCCAUGAUAUCCUCCUGAUGGACCUGACCUCUCUCUCUCUCUCUCUACAAAUUUUUAACAUUCAAUUUGAGUGUUGCAAAUAGCAAUAGGAUCAUCAUUUUAACAAGGUGACUUUUGACUUUGUUGGCCUUUUCCAUUUUCACUAAUCAAUGCUAGACUGUGAGUCGCAAGUAAAUAUUACCCUCCCUUUCUGGUUCCAUUUACAAAUGCACCACUUUAAUCCUAUCCUUAGAAAAUGAAAAGCUAAUAAAAACACUCAAAAUUGGGCCAUCUUAAUAUUAUGGACAACAAAAUUUAGUUAAUCGACGGCCUGGAUUAAUUUGAAGGAUUUUUUUUUUUAAAAAUACAAAUUUUUUAAACCACACACUUAACAAACUUAUAAAGUUCAACCAUCUUUUUCGUUCGUCUUUUAUUUAAUUAUGCUUGUAUGUGAUGCUAUGCUUUGAUUUGUAUUUAAAGUUAAAUUAUCGGAAUUAAAUACGGAGUUUUACUUUUAAAAUACAAACAUACUAACUACGCAAUUACAAGGCAUAAAACAUAAAAAUAUAUAUUUGUUAAUAGCCUUUGCCCUUGCGGUUACCCUUCAUUUUGCUUAAACGGAUGGACUUGCACAAAGACAAUUGCAGUUUAGAGUGAAUAGUAAAGAUAAUUUCACCGACCUUACUUUUGCCUUGCUCUUGCUUAAAACGGGUGGAGAUGCCUUGAUGACAAAGCAAAAGAGAUAUCGAGGAGUAAAAGGAAACAACAACAUUCCACAAUAAAAAAAACAGUGCCAAAUGUCAUCCACUUUCAGAAAUAGUGCAAAUAAUUGUAACUUUUCGUUUUGUUGAAGUAAAAUUCACAUUUACAUCUUCACGAAAUAUAAAAUGUGACCAGCAUAUGAUUUUUACAUUUUAAAUUUGCAGCUCGCAUGCGAAAUGCUCUAAGGAGGAACUUCGUCAUAAACACAGUAAUUUUGUGGAGUCGAGCAAAAUUUUUUUAUCUAGUGUUAAACUCAAAGAACACGUUGUAUAAAGUUUAUCCAAAGGAGUGCGAAAAGACGACGAGCAAAAGGUUGGGAAUAUAUCUAACAUCCAAUACUAGUUGCAAUGUUUUGUAAUUCGGUACUUAGCAAGUUUGUUCUUUAAAAAUAAAAUUUUGUAUUUAGCUCCGAUAAUUUAACUUUAAAUAUAAACCAAAGCAUAGCAUCACAAACAAGCAGUUAUAAAAAAAAAAACAAUUACCACGUGGCAGAAACCCAUUGCCACACCCAAAUUUCUUGGGCCAUUAUUGGCCGUUGAUUGAGUAGACAAGUGAUGGGAGGACAGAAGAAACUCAAAGUUCGAGGGUUCCAGAAACUCCGACGAUGGCAGGGAUUGGCUCUUGCUGUACAACUCUAUCCUCCACAACUUUGGCUGUAUUUCUGGAGAUGUAAUCUUCCUCUUAGCUGAUGUCCAGUUUUAUGUUUCUGGACCUUUGGAUGGACGUCUUGAAUAAAUUUUCCAUUUCGUACUGUUGGAUUGUUGUUAGUAAUUAAGUUGCAAAAACAUAUUGUUUUAUACGAGAGUUUUUCAAAAUUUAUGACACGUUUUGAUUCCGGUUCUUGUGAGUUAGUAAAAAUCGCAACUAGAAUAAAACAUGUUCUCUUUCUGAUUCGAAGCAUUUAGCAAAUAUCUCGACGCAAUUCCUUGGGUUGAUUCUCUUAUAUUUGUCAAGGAAAUAAACUCAUGAUUUUUAUUAAAUCCCUUUUAAUUUGCUAAACAGGUGUGUCUAUUUCUAUGUGCAAAAUAAACAGAUUAUAGAAUGUGAGAUAUGGAUUCGUAUCCAUUGUCUAUAGAAAAAAAGUGCGAAUGCAACAUUGUUUAUAUUCUCGAAUGCUAUUUAGACAUACAAAAUUGACGACAUUGAUAUGACAUUCUAACACAGGCUAAACAACAUUAGUCGUUUCAUUUCCAUUCUUAAACUUCUGCUCUAUGAACCAAAUGAUUUUUGUCUUUAUUUUUAGUAGAAAUGGUAUUUUACAGUAAUCUACAAUAAAAGGAGGGGAAAGGUUUGAAUCUAGAACAAUGUGAGUUGAAAAUGAAGAUCCUAACUAUCAGGAACCAGUUUUCGUUUCUCAUUUUUGCCUUCUUCCUGGGAAUGACAGUGAAAUUAAACAUAUAUACCCAAUAUUUAAAGGGAAAGAAAGAAUCUUCCAUUCAUCUUCUGAUCCUCACCCAUCUUACGGUGUACACCUAUAGCCUCAGAAACUCAGCCACCACCUUACACACAGGAUCCAAAAAGGAAAAACAAAAAGUUGACCUAUUAAAUAAAAUAAUUUACAAACGAGAGAUAUUAGGGUUGACGGGGAAAUGCGGAACCACAAUUGGCACUACCGGAGAUUCAGUGUUCAGAGGCUGGCUGCUGCUCACUGUGCUACCUCCUCCUCCUCCUCCUGCAGCUGCUGCUGGCCCUUCGCCGCAGACACGAGAACCAUGAUGAAGGCAGCAACAGAUGAAUGACAAAAAUCCCAUGAUAUCCCCCUGAUGGACCUGAUCUCUCUUGAUUCUCUCUCUGUAGAAAUUUUAUACAUGUAAU
Molecule: long non-coding RNA, 2911 nt
Filed under: Malus domestica (apple)
Lineage: Eukaryota; Viridiplantae; Streptophyta; Magnoliopsida; Rosales; Rosaceae
Description: long non-coding RNA (MDOM_LNC013731)
Source: RNAcentral